AGGGACGUAGCUCAACUGGUAGAGUAGUGGUCUCCAAAACCAUUGGUUGAAGGUUCGAUUCCUUCCGUUCCUG
Molecule: transfer RNA, 73 nt
Filed under: Caudoviricetes sp.
Lineage: Duplodnaviria; Heunggongvirae; Uroviricota; Caudoviricetes
Description: tRNA-Trp
Rfam family: tRNA
About the family: Transfer RNA (tRNA) molecules are approximately 80 nucleotides in length. Their secondary structure includes four short double-helical elements and three loops (D, anti-codon, and T loops).
Source: RNAcentral